AGAGUUUGAUCCUGGCUCAGGACGAACGCUGGCGGCGUGCCUAACACAUGCAAGUCGAACGGAGAUAAGGGGCUUGCUCCUUAUUUUAGUGGCGCACGGGUGAGUAACGCGUGGAUAAUCUACCUUGGAAUCUGGGAUAACAUUUCGAAAGGGGUGCUAAUACCGGAUAAGACCACGAGCUCUUUGGAGUUUGCGGUAAAAGGGGGCCUCUGUAUAUGCUUCUGUUUCAAGAUGAGUCCGCGUACCAUUAGCUAGUUGGCAGGGUAAUGGCCUACCAAGGCGACGAUGGUUAGCUGGUCUGAGAGGAUGAUCAGCCACACUGGAACUGAGACACGGUCCAGACUCCUACGGGAGGCAGCAGUGGGGAAUUUUGCGCAAUGGGGGAAACCCUGACGCAGCAACGCCGCGUGAGUGAUGAAGGCCUUCGGGUCGUAAAGCUCUGUCAGAGGGAAAGAAGUGUAUGGCGGUU
Molecule: ribosomal RNA, 469 nt
Filed under: uncultured bacterium
Lineage: Bacteria
Description: bacterial SSU rRNA
Rfam family: Bacterial small subunit ribosomal RNA
Source: RNAcentral